AGAAGGGAAGCGUAUUGGAAGAAGAAACUCAUGUACCGGCCCUGCAAAAGUGUGAAGGAGGCAAGGUGAUGUUUAAAUCUAGCAAGGUUCACAAUAUUCAAAAGGUUGCAAUGCAGCAAAAUCCUAGCAUGUCUGACUCCAUUUACCACUUGAUGGGCAUCUAUAUGGUUGGUUUCCUGAGCACUCUCUCAGCAGCCAUUAUCUACCUCCUUUUCAUCUGGCUA
This 224-nucleotide unclassified non-coding RNA is filed under the name Hevea brasiliensis (rubber tree). The record is from RNAcentral. Lineage: Eukaryota; Viridiplantae; Streptophyta; Magnoliopsida; Malpighiales; Euphorbiaceae.